CUCCUUUGACGUUAGCGGCGGACGGGUGAGUAACACGUGGGUAACCUACCUAUAAGACUGGGAUAACUUCGGGAAACCGGAGCUAAUACCGGAUAAUAUUUCGAACCGCAUGGUUCGAUAGUGAAAGGUGGUUUUGCUAUCACUUAUAGAUGGACCCGCGCCGUAUUAGCUAGUUGGUAAGGUAACGGCUUACCAAGGCGACGAUACGUAGCCGACCUGAGAGGGUGAUCGGCCACACUGGAACUGAGACACGGUCCGGACUCCUACGGGAGGCAGCAGUA
Molecule: ribosomal RNA, 281 nt
Filed under: uncultured Staphylococcus sp.
Lineage: Bacteria; Bacillati; Bacillota; Bacilli; Caryophanales; Staphylococcaceae
Description: partial 16S ribosomal RNA
Rfam family: Bacterial small subunit ribosomal RNA
Source: RNAcentral